Molecule: long non-coding RNA, 153 nt
Organism: Lemur catta (Ring-tailed lemur)
Lineage: Eukaryota; Metazoa; Chordata; Mammalia; Primates; Lemuridae
Exons: 3
Source: RefSeq, a predicted model, not a curated record
UGGCACACAGUGGCUGCCUGCAAGCUGCCAAGUGGCAAAGGAUCCAGGAAAAGGCACAGGAUUGGAAAGUGCUACCCAGCAAUCUGUGUAUUCUGCAAUUAACAAAGGGUGGGGGACAGGCCCAGAUCACUGCUGGGCUGGUGGAACAGGCGG